Molecule: non-coding RNA, 112 nt
Organism: Acanthosepion pharaonis
Lineage: Eukaryota; Metazoa; Mollusca; Cephalopoda; Sepiida; Sepiidae
Source: the annotation of a GenBank genome assembly
UUGCGGUUAUAUCAUUUUGACACACUGGUUCUCGUACGAUCACCGAAGUUAAGCAACAUCGAGCCUGGUCAGAAACUAGAUGGGUGAGCGCUUAGGAAUAUCAGGUGCUGUG